UGGGGAAUAUUGCACAAUGGGGGAAACCCUGAUGCAGCCAUGCCGCGUGUGUGAAGAAGGCCUUCGGGUUGUAAAGCACUUUCAGCGAGGAGGAAAGGUUGAUGCCUAAUACGCAUCAGCUGUGACGUUACUCGCAGAAGAAGCACCGGCUAACUCCGUGCCAGCAGCCGCGGUAAUACGGAGGGUGCAAGCGUUAAUCGGAAUUACUGGGCGUAAAGCGUGCGCAGGCGGUUUGUUAAGCGAGAUGUGAAAGCCCUGGGCUCAACCUAGGAAUAGCAUUUCGAACUGGCGAACUAGAGUCUUGUAGAGGGGGGUAGAAUUCCAGGUGUAGCGGUGAAAUGCGUAGAGAUCUGGAGGAAUACCGGUGGCGAAGGCGGCCCCCUGGACAAAGACUGACGCUCAGGUGCGAAAGCGUGGGGAGCAAACA
RNAcentral lists this ribosomal RNA (427 nucleotides) under uncultured bacterium. RNAcentral describes it as "bacterial SSU rRNA". It matches the Rfam family "Bacterial small subunit ribosomal RNA", at positions 355 to 774 of the family's 1533-position model. The record is from RNAcentral.